This 645-nucleotide ribosomal RNA is filed under the name Staphylococcus aureus. RNAcentral's name for it is "partial 23S ribosomal RNA". It matches the Rfam family "Bacterial large subunit ribosomal RNA", at positions 593 to 1242 of the family's 2925-position model. The record is from RNAcentral. Lineage: Bacteria; Bacillati; Bacillota; Bacilli; Caryophanales; Staphylococcaceae.
GUGAUGGCGUGCCUUUUGUAGAAUGAACCGGCGAGUUACGAUUUGAUGCAAGGUUAAGCAGUAAAUGUGGAGCCGUAGCGAAAGCGAGUCUGAAUAGGGCGUUUAGUAUUUGGUCGUAGACCCGAAACCAGGUGAUCUACCCUUGGUCAGGUUGAAGUUCAGGUAACACUGAAUGGAGGACCGAACCGACUUACGUUGAAAAGUGAGCGGAUGAACUGAGGGUAGCGGAGAAAUUCCAAUCGAACCUGGAGAUAGCUGGUUCUCUCCGAAAUAGCUUUAGGGCUAGCCUCAAGUGAUGAUUAUUGGAGGUAGAGCACUGUUUGGACGAGGGGCCCCUCUCGGGUUACCGAAUUCAGACAAACUCCGAAUGCCAAUUAAUUUAACUUGGGAGUCAGAACAUGGGUGAUAAGGUCCGUGUUCGAAAGGGAAACAGCCCAGACCACCAGCUAAGGUCCCAAAAUAUAUGUUAAGUGGAAAAGGAUGUGGCGUUGCCCAGACAACUAGGAUGUUGGCUUAGAAGCAGCCAUCAUUUAAAGAGUGCGUAAUAGCUCACUAGUCGAGUGACACUGCGCCGAAAAUGUACCGGGGCUAAACAUAUUACCGAAGCUGUGGAUUGUCCUUUGGACAAUGGUAGGAGAGCGUUCU